AGUUUGAUCCUGGCUCAGGAUGAACGCUGGCGGCGUGCCUAAUACAUGCAAGUCGAACGCACAGCGAAAGGUGCUUGCACCUUUCAAGUGAGUGGCGAACGGGUGAGUAACACGUGGACAACCUGCCUCAAGGCUGGGGAUAACAUUUGGAAACAGAUGCUAAUACCGAAUAAAACUCAGUGUCGCAUGACACAAAGUUAAAAGGCGCUUUGGCGUCACCUAGAGAUGGAUCCGCGGUGCAUUAGUUAGUUGGUGGGGUAAAGGCCUACCAAGACAAUGAUGCAUAGCCGAGUUGAGAGACUGAUCGGCCACAUUGGGACUGAGACACGGCCCAAACUCCUACGGGAGGCUGCAGUAGGGAAUCUUCCACAAUGGGCGAAAGCCUGAUGGAGCAACGCCGCGUGUGUGAUGAAGGCUUUCGGGUCGUAAAGCACUGUUGUAUGGGAAGAACAGCUAGAAUAGGGAAUGAUUUUAGUUUGACGGUACCAUACCAGAAAGGGACGGCUAAAUACGUGCCAGCAGCCGCGGUAAUACGUAUGUCCCGAGCGUUAUCCGGAUUUAUUGGGCAUAAAGCGAGCGCAGACGGUUGAUUAAGUCUGAUGUGAAAGCCCGGAG
Molecule: ribosomal RNA, 615 nt
Filed under: uncultured bacterium
Lineage: Bacteria
Description: bacterial SSU rRNA
Rfam family: Bacterial small subunit ribosomal RNA
Source: RNAcentral